GAGCUCAUUUCAGUAGCACAUAUACUAAAAUUGGACUAAUACAAAGAAGAUUUGCACGGCCUCUUAACAAGGAUGACACACAAAUUCGUGUGGAAUUCCAUACUUUU
This is a non-coding RNA of Ictidomys tridecemlineatus (thirteen-lined ground squirrel), 107 nucleotides long. The record is from Rfam. NCBI's taxonomy places the organism in Eukaryota, Metazoa, Chordata, Mammalia, Rodentia, Sciuridae.